Molecule: ribosomal RNA, 103 nt
Filed under: uncultured archaeon
Lineage: Archaea
Description: partial 16S ribosomal RNA
Source: RNAcentral
CUACGGGGCGCAGCAGGCGAGAAAACUUUGCAAUGUGCGAAAGCACGACCAGGUUAAUCCGAGUGGUUUUGGGUAAAGAAAGGCUUUUCAUACUAGAAAUACU